Molecule: ribosomal RNA, 450 nt
Filed under: uncultured bacterium
Lineage: Bacteria
Description: bacterial SSU rRNA
Rfam family: Bacterial small subunit ribosomal RNA
Source: RNAcentral
GUUCCAGACUCCUACGGGAGGCAGCAGUGGGGAAUAUUGGGCAAUGGGCGCAAGCCUGACCCAGCAACGCCGCGUGAAGGAAGAAGGCUUUCGGGUUGUAAACUUCUUUUGACAGGGAAGAGCAGAAGACGGUACCUGUCGAAUAAGCCACGGCUAACUACGUGCCAGCAGCCGCGGUAAUACGUAGGUGGCAAGCGUUGUCCGGAUUUACUGGGUGUAAAGGGCGUGUAGCCGGGCUGACAAGUCAGAUGUGAAAUCGGGGGGCUCAACCCCCGAACUGCAUUUGAAACUGUUGGUCUUGAGUAUCGGAGAGGCAGGCGGAAUUCCUAGUGUAGCGGUGAAAUGCGUAGAUAUCAGGAGGAACACCGGCGGCGAAGGCGGCCCGCUGGACCGUGACUGACGUUGAGGCUCGAGAGCGUGGGGAGCAAACAGGAUUAGAUACCCGCGUAA